CGUGCUUAACACAUGCAAGUCGAACGAGGGAAUUCUUUUCGGAGAAUAUACCGAGUGGCAAACGGGUGAGUAACGCGUAGGCAACCUGCCUUCAAGAUGGGGACAACAGUCCGAAAGGGCUGCUAAUACCGAAUGACAUGUCUGAACCGCAUGGGACGGACAGCAAAGACGGCCUCCAAACUAUGCUGUCGCUUGAAGAUGGGCCUGCGUCUGAUUAGCUAGUUGGUGAGAUAACAGCCCACCAAGGCGACGAUCAGUAGCCGGUCUGAGAGGAUGAACGGCCACAUUGGGACUGAGACACGGCCCAGACUCCUACGGGAGGCAGCAGUGGGGAAUCUUCCGCAAUGGGCGAAAGCCUGACGGAGCAACGCCGCGUGAGUGAAGAAGGUCUUCGGAUCGUAAAGCUCUGUUGAAGGGGACGCACGGCGCCUGUUGCAAGAUAGCAGGUGAAUGACGGUACCCUUCGAGGAAGCCACGGCUAACUACGUG
RNAcentral lists this ribosomal RNA (489 nucleotides) under uncultured bacterium. RNAcentral's name for it is "bacterial SSU rRNA". It matches the Rfam family "Bacterial small subunit ribosomal RNA", at positions 43 to 507 of the family's 1533-position model. The record is from RNAcentral.